AUCCGGGACGAUAAUGACGGUACCGGAGGAAUAAGCCCCGGCUAACUUCGUGCCAGCAGCCGCGGUAAUACGAAGGGGGAGGAGCGUUGCUCGGAAUCACUGGGCGUAAAGGGCGCGUAGGCGGCGUUUUAAGUCGGGGGUGAAAGCCUGUGGCUCAACCACAGAAUGGCCUUCGAUACUGGGACGCUUGAGUAUGGUAGAGGUUGGUGGAACUGCGAGUGUAGAGGUGAAAUUCGUAGAUAUUCGCAAGA
This 251-nucleotide ribosomal RNA is filed under the name uncultured Alphaproteobacteria bacterium. RNAcentral describes it as "partial 16S ribosomal RNA". It matches the Rfam family "Bacterial small subunit ribosomal RNA", at positions 438 to 705 of the family's 1533-position model. The record is from RNAcentral. Lineage: Bacteria; Pseudomonadati; Pseudomonadota; Alphaproteobacteria.